AGGCCCCACCCUCCUCUGCAGCAGGGGGAGGGGAUAAGAGAGGUCUGGGGGACCAGGCACAGGGUUGGGGGCUCAGAAGGCAGCACUCUGGGGCGUCUCCACCAUGGCCUGGGCUCUGCUCCUUCUCACCCUCCUCACUCAGGGCACAGGGUCCUGGGCCCAGUCUGCCCUGACUCAGCCUUCCUCGGUCUCCGGGACUCCAGGACAGACGGUCACCAUCUCCUGCACUGGAACCAGCAAUGACGUUGGGGGAUAUAACUAUGUCUCCUGGUACCAACAGCUCCCAGGAACGGCCCCCAAACUCCUGAUUUAUCAGGUCAAUAAACGAGCCUCCGGGAUCCCUGAUCGCUUCUCUGGCUCCAAGUCUGGCAACACGGCCUCCAUGACCAUCUCUGGGCUCCAGUCUGCGGACGAGGCUGACUAUUACUGUGCCUCAUAUAGAAGUAGCUACAAUCCUGUGUUCGGCGGAGGGACCAAGCUGACCGUCCUAGGUCAGCCCAAGGCCGCACCCUCGGUCACCCUGUUCCCGCCGUCCUCUGAGGAGCUCACCGCCAACAAGGCCACCCUGGUGUGUCUGAUCAGUGACUUCUACCCGGGCAGCGUGACGGUGGCCUGGAAGCAAGAUGGCACCACCGUCACGCAGGGCGUGGAGACCACCAAGCCCUCGAAGCAGAGCAACAACAAGUACGCGGCCAGCAGCUACCUGACCCUGUCGCCCAGCACGUGGAAGUCUCACAGCAGCUACAGCUGUCGGGUCACGCACGAGGCGGGCACCGUGGAGAAGACGGUGUCCCCCUCCCAGUGUUAGGCCCCCGGGCCCCCACCCUCGGGGGCCUGGAGACACAGGACCCCCGGGAGAGUCUCCCCUCCCACCCGGGGCCGCCCAGCCCUUCCUCCUGCACCAAUCAGCUCUCAAUAAAAUGUCCUCAUUUCAUUCAGAAA
Camelus dromedarius (Arabian camel) is the source of this 942-nucleotide non-coding RNA. NCBI's taxonomy places the organism in Eukaryota, Metazoa, Chordata, Mammalia, Artiodactyla, Camelidae. The record is from the annotation of a RefSeq genome assembly.